RNAcentral lists this unclassified non-coding RNA (263 nucleotides) under plant metagenome. RNAcentral describes it as "partial contains small subunit ribosomal RNA, internal transcribed spacer 1, and 5.8S ribosomal RNA". The record is from RNAcentral.
UUUCCGUAGGUGAACCUGCGGAAGGAUCAUUAUGGUAGAACCGGGGCGCGAGGGCUGUCGCUGACCCGAAAGUUGGGGCACUCCCGAGUGCCCUAACACACAUCCAUCUCACCCCUAUGUGCACCACCGCGUGGGUCCCCCUUUGGCUUGUUCGGAGGGGGGCUUACGUUUUCACACAAACUUUGUAUGCAGUGUAGAAUGUAUUUUUUGUUUUUGCGAUCACGCAAUCAAUACAACUUUCAACAACGGAUCUCUUGGCUCUC